GAUGAACGCUGGCGGCGUGCCUAAUACAUGCAAGUCGAGCGAACGGACGAGAAGCUUGCUUCUCUGAUGUUAGCGGCGGACGGGUGAGUAACACGUGGAUAGCCUACCUAUAAGACUGGGAUAACUUCGGGAAACCGGAGCUAAUACCGGAUAAUAUUUUGAACCGCAUGGUUCAAAAGUGAAGGACGGUCUUGCUGUCACUUAUAGAUGGAUCCGCGCUGCAUUAGCUAGUUGGUAAGGUAACGGCUUACCAAGGCAACGAUGCAUAGCCGACCUGAGAGGGUGAUCGGCCACACUGGAACUGAGACACGGUCCAGACUCCUACGGGAGGCAGCAGUAGGGAAUCUUCCGCAAUGGGCGAAAGCCUGACGGAGCAACGCCGCGUGAGUGAUGAAGGUCUUCGGAUCGUAAAACUCUGUUAUUAGGGAAGAACAUAUGUGUAAGUAACUGUGCACAUCUUGACGGUACCUAAUCAGAAAGCCACGGCUAACUACGUG
Molecule: ribosomal RNA, 497 nt
Filed under: uncultured bacterium
Lineage: Bacteria
Description: partial 16S ribosomal RNA
Rfam family: Bacterial small subunit ribosomal RNA
Source: RNAcentral